This 1494-nucleotide ribosomal RNA is filed under the name uncultured prokaryote. Its description in RNAcentral is "partial 16S ribosomal RNA". It matches the Rfam family "Bacterial small subunit ribosomal RNA". The record is from RNAcentral.
GAGUUUGAUCAUGGCUCAGAUUGAACGCUGGCGGCAGGCCUAACACAUGCAAGUCGAGCGAGAAAGCACUUCGGUGUGAGUAGAGCGGCGGACGGGUGAGUAACGCGUAGGAAUUUGCCCAGUAGUGGGGGACAACAUGUGGAAACGCAUGCUAAUACCGCAUACGCCCUAAGGGGGAAAGCAGGGGAUCUUCGGACCUUGCGCUAUUGGAGAAGCCUGCGUCGGAUUAGCUAGUUGGUGGGGUAAAGGCCCACCAAGGCGACGAUCCGUAGCUGGUCUGAGAGGAUGAUCAGCCACACUGGGACUGAGACACGGCCCAGACUCCUACGGGAGGCAGCAGUGGGGAAUAUUGGACAAUGGGCGAAAGCCUGAUCCAGCCAUGCCGCGUGUGUGAAGAAGGCCUUAGGGUUGUAAAGCACUUUCAGUAGGGAGGAAAAGUUAGUCGUUAAUAGCGGCUAACCCUGACGUUACCUACAGAAGAAGCACCGGCAAACUCCGUGCCAGCAGCCGCGGUAAUACGGAGGGUGCGAGCGUUAAUCGGAAUUACUGGGCGUAAAGCGCGCGUAGGUGGUUUGUUAAGCGAGAUGUGAAAGCCCCGGGCUCAACCUGGGAACUGCAUUUCGAACUGGCAGGCUAGAGUAUGGUAGAGGUAAGUGGAAUUUCCUGUGUAGCGGUGAAAUGCGUAGAUAUAGGAAGGAACACCAGUGGCGAAGGCGACUUACUGGACCAAUACUGACACUGAGGUGCGAAAGCGUGGGGAGCAAACGGGAUUAGAUACCCCGGUAGUCCACGCCGUAAACGAUGUCUACUAGCCGUUGGGAGACUUGAUCUCUUAGUGGCGCAGCUAACGCAAUAAGUAGACCGCCUGGGGAGUACGGCCGCAAGGUUAAAACUCAAAUGAAUUGACGGGGGCCCGCACAAGCGGUGGAGCAUGUGGUUUAAUUCGAUGCAACGCGAAGAACCUUACCUGGUCUUGACAUCCUACGAACUUUCCAGAGAUGGAUUGGUGCCUUCGGGAACGUAGUGACAGGUGCUGCAUGGCUGUCGUCAGCUCGUGUCGUGAGAUGUUCGGUUAAGUCCGGCAACGAGCGCAACCCACAUCCUUAGUUGCCAGCAGGUUAAGCUGGGCACUCUAGGGAAACUGCCCGUGAUAAGCGGGAGGAAGGUGUGGAUGACGUCAAGUCCUCAUGGCCCUUACGGGUUGGGCUACACACGUGCUACAAUGGCAGUGACAGUGCUACAAUGGCAGUGACAAUGGGUUAAUCCCAAAAAAAACUGUCUCAGUUCGGAUUGGGGUCUGCAACUCGACCCCAUGAAGUCGGAAUCGCUAGUAAUCGCGUAACAGCAUGACGCGGUGAAUACGUUCCCGGGCCUUGUACACACCGCCCGUCACACCAUGGGAGUUGGGUCUACCCGAAGGCCGUAGUCUAACCUUAGGGAGGGCGUUUACCACGGUGUGCUUCAUGACGGGGGUGAAGUCGUAACAAGGUAACC